GACGAACGCUGGCGGCGUGCUUAACACAUGCAAGUCGAACGGAAAGGCCCUGCUUGCAGGGUACUCGAGUGGCGAACGGGUGAGUAACACGUGGGGGAUCUGCCCUGCACUUCGGGAUAAGCCUGGGAAACUGGGGCUAAUACCGGAUAGUAGCCAUUUUUAGUGUGAUGGUUGGAAAGUUUUUUCGGUGUAGGAUGAGCUCGCGGCCUAUCAGCUUGUUGGUGGGGUAAUGGCCUACCAAGGCGGCGACGGGUAGCCGGCCUGAGAGGGUGGACGGCCACAUUGGGACUGAGAGACGGCCCAGACUCCUACGGGAGGCAGAAGUGGGGAAUAUUGCACAAUGGGCGCCAGCCUGAUGCAGCGACGCCGCGUGGGGGAUGACGGCCUUCGGGUUGUAAACUCCUUUCGCUAGGGACGAAGCUUUUUGUGACGGUACCUAGAUAAGAAGCACCGGCUAACUACGUG
This 465-nucleotide ribosomal RNA is filed under the name uncultured bacterium. RNAcentral's name for it is "partial 16S ribosomal RNA". It matches the Rfam family "Bacterial small subunit ribosomal RNA", at positions 28 to 507 of the family's 1533-position model. The record is from RNAcentral.